Long non-coding RNA from Fukomys damarensis (Damara mole-rat), 772 nucleotides. RefSeq lists it as uncharacterized. The transcript has 3 exons. The record is from RefSeq and is a predicted model, not a curated record. Lineage: Eukaryota; Metazoa; Chordata; Mammalia; Rodentia; Bathyergidae.
AUGAUGAAAAAAGGUGUACAAUUUGGUAGAGAUGCCAUUUUCCCUGAAUAUUUAUUUGAAUACACAAAAGAUACUGAGGGCAACUGUCUGAAGGACUCUGCAUCAGGCCAGGUGAGAGCAGAGAGGAUGGAGGGUAGGUGUGGUGGGUCAGACAGAACCAAGGACAGCUAUCCCAAGGAUGCAUCUGAACAGUUAGACUCCCACAUGCAAUCCUACUAUGGGCAGAGACUUGAGGGGCAGAUAGUGAAUUUUAUGUCCUUUCCGGUUAUGAGAACUCUACUUCUAAUAGUGGAGAAAACUGAAAUCAGAAGUUUUUAAAUUCUGACUUUGCAGGCCCAUCCUAAAAUUGAUUCUCCACAAGUUUGUAUUUCUAUGGCUCCUCUUAGCCCCAGACUCAAAGGGGCCCUUAUUAUUUGUGAGCAGAAGAGAAGAAAGAUCUGGAAGGUCAAACUCAUGUGGCAAGCAAGAGCUGGAUUCCAUCUGUCUUUGUCACCACGACGCUGUCCUUUCACCCCAAGCCUGGGCAGCUUUGUGUUCCCUGGCACACCUCAUCUCCACAGAGUGAGGAUUCCAGACUCAUUGUGAUCCCCAAGCAAAGGACAAUCUUCAAGACUCUUUGGCUACAGUGUGAGAAGUCUCCUCAGAAGACAGGAACAAUAACAGAAGACGAAAGAGCCUCAAGUACCCAGAUUUGGGCUGAAGCAGGAAUCAGUGGUACUGGUCCUGUCCUAGACACCCUGAAGCUUGCUGGAAGCCACAGGAUGGAGCAAAG